RNAcentral lists this long non-coding RNA (4230 nucleotides) under Sus scrofa (pig). RNAcentral's name for it is "lncRNA (ENSSSCG00055002536.1)". The record is from RNAcentral. Lineage: Eukaryota; Metazoa; Chordata; Mammalia; Artiodactyla; Suidae.
AAAUAGGGAGCACUGGGAGGGAUAUGAACUUGGGGAUGGCUUCGGAGUCUGUGAGGCUUUUAGGGCAAGACUCAACCUUUCUGUACUUUAAUUUCCAAUCUGUAGAAUGGGAAUUUUUAAAAUGUAUUUUUUAAAUUUGAAGUAUAAUUGAUAUACAACAUUGUAUUAGUUUCAGGUGUACAGAAAAAGUAUUCAGUGUGUAUACAUAUAUAUACACACAUAUUCAGAUUAUUUUCUAUUAUAGAAUAUUAUUCUCUGUGUUAUAUGGUAAAUCCUUUUUUUAUCAAAUUUUACUGGAGUAUAGUUUACUUACAAUAAUGUGUUAGUUUCAGGGGUACAGCAAAGUGAAUCAGUUAUACAUAUAUCACUUCCUUUUCAUAUUCUCUUCCCUUAAAGGUUAUGUUUAUUUUAUGCAUAGCACUUUGUUAAUCUCAUAUCCCUAAUUUAUCCCUACUCCCCAUCCCUUUCUCCUUUGGUAACCAUAAUUUUGUUUUUUAUGUCGGUCUUUUUCAAUUUCAUAUAUAGAUCUGUUUGUAGUUUUUUUAAUUCUACCACUUAGAAGUGAUAUCAUAUAAAUUUGUCUUUCUCUGAUUUAAUUCACUUAGUAUGAUAUUUUCUAGGCCUAUUCAUGUUGUUGCAAAUGGCAUUAUUUCAUUCUUUUUUAUGGCUGAGUAAUAUUUCAUUACACACACACACACACACACACACACACACACACACACACACACACACACACUUCUUUUUAAACCAGUCUUCUGGUCUUCUGUUGAUGGGCACUUGGAUUGUUUCCAUGUCUUAGCUAUUAUAAAUGGUGCUACUGUGUACGUUGAGGUGCAUGUAUCUUUUUGAAUUAGUUUUAUCUCUUCUGGAUAUGCACCCAGGAUGGAUUGGUGGGUUAUGUGGCAGCUACAGUUUCAGUUUUUUAAGGAACUUUUCCACUGUUUUCCACAGUGGCUGCACCAAUUUACAUUCCCACCAACAGUUUAGGAGGGUUCCCUUUUUUCCACACCCUCUCCAGCAUUUAUUAUUUCUGGGUCUUUCCUUAUAUCCGCAUACAGUGAAUGUAGUUGGGGACCUGAAUUUUCCUGCCCUGAGCCCCACUCAUUUUCCUGUCCCAGCCCUGCUGCACCAUCUCUAAGGGCAGUGUUGUUUGAUCUCUGUAUGAGGGUGCAUUUUGAUCCUCUGGUUGUUUUCAGGCUGGAUACCUUAUUAGCAUGAGGAACAGGUUAUAUAGAGGCAAGGUAAGGAAUGGGUGACAUUUCUUCCCUAACAGGGAGUGAGCAGCCCAGGUUGCUCAAGGUGGGGGAAGGGGUAUUACAAUGAAACCUGGUCAGUGGCUUUUGGGUUUGAUCUCCUUCAUGGGGACUUGAAGCCUAUAACAUGAUAAUUGGUGAUAUUGAGCAACUUUUCAUGUGUGUGUUGGCCAUCUGGUGUCUUCUUUGGACAUUGUCUGUUUAGGUCUUCUACCCUAAAAUGGGCAUAUUAAUGCAUGACUCCGUGGAGUUAUGGUAAGAAUUGACCAAAAUGGCCUUAGUGUUUCCCUCAACUUGACUAGAGUUUGGGCAGGCUUCUUUCUGCCCCUUGGCCCUUGACCUCACCCCAGAUAUCCUAUGAUCCUUGCCCCCCAUUCCACCUCUUAAAAACUCUACCACCCUUUGAUUCAUUGGAGAUAAGUUGAGAUUGAGUUAUGAAGAAAAAUGUGGAAGUCCUGACUAUUAUAAUACUUCCAGGAAUACAUAGACAGAAGAGAAUAUGUUCAGAGAAUUCUUGAUUUUCUUUGUCCAACAAAAGAAAAACUCAGGGGUAAAGGAGAGAAUGGGUCUUACACAAAACUUUGAGUUAUUCAAAACUCUGGCAAUGCAUCAUAAGCCAUGGGGUGGGCACUAAACUAAAAGCACCAAGAUUAAUAAUUUUCUGAGCCAAAGUACCUGAAGAAGUCAGAGGCCUCAGAAACCUGCUGAAGGGCACUGAGAAUAGAUCCAUUUUAUAAAAUUCCUUUAAAAGGCUACUGGUCCACACCCUUUUGUGCUUUGGAUUAUUCCCAGUGUUUACUGUAGAAAGGGAGAGAUUAGAGAUGAAAUAUAUAGUCAUAGUUAAUAUCUCACCUCCCUUCCAUCAUACCAAAAACAAACAAACCCAAACAUGCCUUACCUACCAACUUAGCUAUUUUCAUUUUCAUCUAUUCUUAAUUUGGGACUGGAGCUGCGGUCAGCAGGGGUUCAGUAAAUGAUUUUCCUCACAAUAGCACUGCUGCUCUCUGCCUCACUGCUUUUUUCCUUGAGGGCAGAGAUGUCUAGGAAUCUCAUCCUGGCACUAUAUUCCUUGGUUGUUGGUUUUCUUUGACUCCCCUCCUCUCCCUGACAGGAAAUAGGAGGUCCUAGGUGAUACUUUUUCCCCAGCUAUGGCUACCAUAGCAAUGAAUAUGCACUGGGGUAAGAUAAGCCGUGUUACCAGGCUGUAGAGUCUUCCUUCAAAAUAUUUGAUGGAUUAAUUCCCAGAAACCUGCUUGCUCUGAGAUAAGGAGUGUGUGAGAGUGUGGUAGAGGAGUGUGGGGGUGCAGAUGGUGGUGGCCAUUUCUCAUUCAGUCACAACUAUUGGCUGAAAAUUAUCAUUACAAACAUACGUGUCACACUAUUCAGGGCUACAGAAUGCCUGGGAGAGAACUGAUCUAGAAUGAGGGUAUAUAUGAUAAACAAUAGGUAUAGGCAGGAGAGAGAGGCAGCACUGGGCUCCCCCUAAGCCCAGAGUCAGGGUAUCUCUCUUUUUUACCCUCUUUGUCAUAGUCAAGUUCAAAGAGAUUUAGCACACAGGAACACCAGGCUGUCAGCUGAAUCUUCACUUAGACUUGAACCUCCUGCCUGAAUCUCUUUAUGUUUCUCUAUGGUAAACCAGACUGGGCAAUACCAACAGUGACGAUUUGAAAAUUGUCUGUUUACCUUUAAUUUAUUCUGCCUUACUUUGUCCAUAAGUGCAUCUGUUUCUGUCAGAGCAGGCCCCAGAUGAGCUGGAUGCUCCUCUUGCUACUUUAAGCUUUCGGUUUCUAAGAGCCAGCUCACUCCUCUGUCCUCCUUCCUCCCUCUCAGAAUACAUGCACACAUGGAAUCCUCUGUCAGCUCCUAAACAUUUUUAUAUUUAGAGUUAUUAACCUUAGUAUCCUGUUGCUAAACAUAUAGCUCCUCUGUUAUGAAGCCUAUGACUGGGCAAUAGCCUUCUUUGUAUUUGACUGAAGUAGGUGAUUAAGUUCUUGGUAGUGAAAAGUAAGAAAAUGUGUUGUAUAGAAAUCAUGGGAAGUCUCUUUCUUCCCUUCCACUUUUCUGAUACUGAUGCUUCAAAUGUGGCUGUGAUAGCUGGAACUCCAGCAGCCUUUUUGGAGUAUGAUGAUGAAGGCUACAUCCUAGCAAUCACAGAAAGAGUCUAUGUCUCUGGUGGACAUGGAGCUAUUAUUCUAGUCUGGUCCUGGACUCUUUCAUACUUUACUUUUUUUUUUUUUCUUGUGUGUAUGACAAAUAAACUCUUAUUAGCUAUUUCAUCUCCAGUUGGAAUAUUUUUAAAUCUUAUUUUAACUACAAUAUGUGAGCAUGUGCUAACAUGCUGGGUUUACUUUUCUUCUGUUGUUAUUCUAUUCUCCUGUUGUUAAAUUUCUGUGACAACUCCUAAUAUCUUUAUGUAUCUUCCUCUAUUUUAAAUUUUCCCUUAAAUAAACUUUAGUGGAAAUCACUGUUCCAGGAACUAUGCCAGGCUACUGGAAAACAAUGGUUAAUCUAUAAUACUUUAUGGCUGUGAGGCAUUCACCUGAACCCCUUUCCAAAGAAGUACAGGAGAGUGACAUCGGGUGAAUGUCACUACCGCCCAAAUCAGCUUUGCUCUUGGCAUAUAGAAAGAGUAGGCCUGUCUCUGGCCUUGAAAAAAAAAUGUAGUAUAAUAGAAAAGGAGAACAGAAAGGCUUAAAAUAAUGAAUGUUUAUAGGCAUCCAGGGAGAAUGAAAUUAGUGUUUCUUUUCUUUUCAGGCUUAUUGUUGAAAAAUUAAUAAUCUUCUGGAGGUCUGCUAUUAAAAUAGAAUUAGCAGUGACCUCAUAGAGAGCCCUAAAACUUACAAAUUGUGUUCCCUCUUGCCUUCACUGGUUGGGUGCAAUCCAAAGUGCGUCAAUUAUGAAUGGUCUAACUUUUGCAAAACAACUUUUCUUUUCUCUAAUUUUUGCAGUUGCUUUAAAAAAAAAAAAACAAAAAAAA